Molecule: ribosomal RNA, 253 nt
Filed under: uncultured bacterium
Lineage: Bacteria
Description: partial 16S ribosomal RNA
Rfam family: Bacterial small subunit ribosomal RNA
Source: RNAcentral
UACGUAGGGUGCAAGCGUUAAUCGGAAUUACUGGGCGUAAAGCGUGCGCAGGCGGUUGUGCAAGACAGAUGUGAAAUCCCCGGGCUCAACCUGGGAACUGCAUUUGUGACUGCACGGCUGGAGUGCGGCAGAGGGGGAUGGAAUUCCGCGUGUAGCAGUGAAAUGCGUAGAUAUGCGGAGGAACACCGAUGGUGAAGGCAAUCCCCUGGGCCUGCACUGACGCUCAUGCACGAAAGCGUGGGGAGCAAACAGG